GUAGUCCAUGCCGUAAACGGUGGGCGCUAGGUGUGGGGGUCUUCCACGACUUCCGUGCCGUAGCUAACGCAUUAAGCGCCCCGCCUGGGGAGUACGGCCGCAAGGCUAAAACUCAAAGGAAUUGACGGGGGCCCGCACAAGCGGCGGAGCAUGUGGAUUAAUUCGAUGCAACGCGAAGAACCUUACCUGGGCUUGACAUAUGCAGGAUCGGCACAGAGAUGUGUUUUCCCUUGUGGUCUGUAUACAGGUGGUGCAUGGUUGUCGUCAGCUCGUGUCGUGAGAUGUUGGGUUAAGUCCCGCAACGAGCGCAACCCUUGUCUUGUGUUGCCAGCACGUUAUGGUGGGGACUCGCGAGAGACUGCCGGGGUUAACUCGGA
RNAcentral lists this ribosomal RNA (377 nucleotides) under uncultured bacterium. RNAcentral's name for it is "bacterial SSU rRNA". It matches the Rfam family "Bacterial small subunit ribosomal RNA", at positions 790 to 1167 of the family's 1533-position model. The record is from RNAcentral.